Molecule: small nuclear RNA, 19 nt
Filed under: Arabidopsis thaliana (thale cress)
Lineage: Eukaryota; Viridiplantae; Streptophyta; Magnoliopsida; Brassicales; Brassicaceae
Description: snRNA_12359
Source: RNAcentral
CCAGUAUAACGCCAUAUAA